CCGGUGCACUUCGCCUGGUUUAGGCCAGCAUCGGUUCUCUUAGGGGGAUAAAGGCCGGGGGAACGUAGCUCUUUCGGGAGUGUUAUAGCCCCUGGUGUAAUACCCUUCGGGGGACCGAGGAACGCGCAUCUGCAAGGAUGCUGGCGUAAUGGUCGUCAACGACCCGUCUUGAAACACGGACCAAGGAGUCGAACAUUUGUGCGAGUGUUUGGGUGUUAAACCCUCACGCGUAAUGAAAGUGAACGGAGGUGAGAGCCCUUCGGGGUGCAUCAUCGACCGAUCCUGAUGUCUUCGGAUGGAUUUGAGUAAGAGCAUAACUGUUCGGACCCGAAAGAUGGUGAACUAUGCGUGGAUAGGGUGAAGCCAGAGGAAACUCUGGUGGAGGCUCGCAGCGGUUCUGACGUGCAAAUCGAUCGUCAAAUCUGCGCAUGGGG
RNAcentral lists this ribosomal RNA (434 nucleotides) under Daldinia hawksworthii. RNAcentral describes it as "LSU rRNA". It matches the Rfam family "Eukaryotic large subunit ribosomal RNA", at positions 472 to 922 of the family's 3401-position model. Lineage: Eukaryota; Fungi; Ascomycota; Sordariomycetes; Xylariales; Hypoxylaceae. The record is from RNAcentral.